AAUCAGGCAUAAAAUUGAUAGAUUUAAUUCUGACACAUGACCAGCGGUGAGUAGCAAUAACAAAGGUGCCAUAAAAUAAAAUACUGGGACUUGAGAAAACAACAUCAAACCACACAUCCCAUUCUUUUUUCCCUCUUUUUUUUUUUUUGAGAUGGACACAUCCUAUUCUAUGUCCAUAGGAUCCGUGGUGUCGUCCCCUUGUUCUACUUGGGCGUUCUGCAGAUUUUGUCCACAAAAGCUCUCAUACAUCAACGGGACAGCAGGCAGCAGCUUCUUGUUAGCGGAACCAGGCAACACCAUCCCAGGUCUUUUCACGUUACCCUUUGCUCCUGCACAGCGAAACAUUCCCAUGUUAAGAAUGACGAGUCGAAACUAGUAGCUCAAGACUGCGAAUGCUAAAUAUAAGCCAGAUCAGGCCAGCUUGAAUAAAUUCCAGUUCCAGAAUUAAUGUAGCAACAAGCAGGUGAUGUGCUCUUUCGCGUGUCCAUUUUGGUGCGAGAUUUCGUUAUGAUGAUGUUUAGCACCAGACCAGAGUCUUAGGCCUGCAAGCACUCCCUCCGCCCUAUAAUAUAAGAUGUUAUUACAACCAAUGUAUUUUUAUUUUGGUUGUAGUAAUAUCCUCUAUUAUUGGCUGGAGGUAUUACAUUUUACUGGACCUCGCGUUAACAGGGCCUCACUGGAGCAAAAGGAUUACAUAAAUCUCUCAACGGUAAUGGACUUGAAACGGUUGUAGUAUAUAUACAUGAAGAGGAAUUUUAUUUGAUAUAUCUGAGAACUGGGCACUAAAUAAUGGUGAGACAGGGAUGAUGUCGUCGUUACCUGGUGGAGUCAGAUGCUUGGAGAUGGUGGUUGGGAUGUAGGUGAACUCCAAGCUGUGCCUGCUACGUGGUCUGAACUCAGUAACUCCUUGCAACUUCUUCUUUGUGUUCACAGC
Molecule: long non-coding RNA, 934 nt
Filed under: Hordeum vulgare
Lineage: Eukaryota; Viridiplantae; Streptophyta; Magnoliopsida; Poales; Poaceae
Description: long non-coding RNA (HVUL_LNC015228)
Source: RNAcentral